This 456-nucleotide ribosomal RNA is filed under the name Metschnikowia reukaufii. Its description in RNAcentral is "partial large subunit ribosomal RNA". It matches the Rfam family "Eukaryotic large subunit ribosomal RNA", at positions 88 to 504 of the family's 3401-position model. The record is from RNAcentral. Lineage: Eukaryota; Fungi; Ascomycota; Pichiomycetes; Serinales; Metschnikowiaceae.
GGCGAGUGAAGCGGCAAAAGCUCAAAUUUGAAAUCCUUCGGGAAUUGUAUUUUGAAGGUGGGUUUGGUUAGGAAAAGAUACUUUAAGUCCAUUGGAAAAUGGCGCCAUGGAGGGUGAUAGCCCCGUAAAAGUACCCCUUUUCCUUUUAUCCAUUCCCUCCAAAGAGUCGAGUUGUUUGGGAAUGCAGCUCUAAGUGGGUGGUAAAUUCCAUCUAAAGCUAAAUAUUGGCGAGAGACCGAUAGCGAACAAGUACAGUGAUGGAAAGAUGAAAAGCACUUUGAAAAGAGAGUGAAAAAGUACGUGAAAUUGUUGAAAGGGAAGGGCUUGCAAGCAGACACAACCUCGGUUGGGCCAGCAUCGGAGUGGGGGGAGACAAAAAAGAAAAGGAAUGUAACUCAUUCGAGUAUUAUAGCCUUUUUCUCAUAUCUCCACCCCCUUCCGAGGCCUGCGNUCUCA